Molecule: transfer RNA, 72 nt
Filed under: Candidatus Woesearchaeota archaeon
Lineage: Archaea; Nanobdellati; Candidatus Woesearchaeota
Description: tRNA-Trp
Rfam family: tRNA
About the family: Transfer RNA (tRNA) molecules are approximately 80 nucleotides in length. Their secondary structure includes four short double-helical elements and three loops (D, anti-codon, and T loops).
Source: RNAcentral
GGACGUAGUAUAACCUGGCUAGAAUAAGCGGCUCCAGACCGCUGGAUCUGGGUUCGAAUCCCAGCGUCCCCA